UACGUAGGGGGCGAGCGUUGUUCGAAGUUACUGGGCGUAAAGCGCGUGUAGGCGGGUCUUUAAGUGAGGGGUGAAAGGUUUGGGCUUAACCCAGACACUGCCUUUCAUACUGGAGACCUUGAGUGCGGGAGAGGCGAGUGGAAUGGUCGGUGUAGCGGUGAAAUGCGUAGAUAUCGAUCGGAACACCCAUGGCGAAGGCAGCUCGCUGGCCUGUAACUGACGCUGAGGAGCGAAAGCGUGGGGAGCGAUCCGG
Molecule: ribosomal RNA, 253 nt
Filed under: uncultured bacterium
Lineage: Bacteria
Description: partial 16S ribosomal RNA
Rfam family: Bacterial small subunit ribosomal RNA
Source: RNAcentral